UUCCUACGGGAGGCAGCAGUGGGGAAUCUUAGACAAUGGGCGCAAGCCUGAUCUAGCCAUGCCGCGUGUGUGAUGAAGGUCUUAGGAUCGUAAAGCACUUUCGCCAGGGAUGAUAAUGACAGUACCUGGUAAAGAAACCCCGGCUAACUCCGUGCCAGCAGCCGCGGUAAUACGGAGGGGGUUAGCGUUGUUCGGAAUUACUGGGCGUAAAGCGUACGUAGGCGGAUUGGAAAGUUGGGGGUGAAAUCCCAGGGCUCAACCCUGGAACUGCCUCYWAAACUAMUYAGUCUAGAKUUCSAGAGAGGUGAGUGGAAUUCCRAGUGUARAKKUSAMAUUCGUASAUAUUUKRMGGAACACCAGUGGCGAAGGCGGCUCACUGGCUCGAUACUGACGCUGAGGUACGAAAGUGUGGGGAGCAAACAGGAUUAGAUACCCUGGUAGUCCACACCGUAAACGAUGAAUGCCAGUCGUCGGGCAGUAUACUGUUCGGUGACACACCUAACGCAUUAAGCAUC
This 515-nucleotide ribosomal RNA is filed under the name uncultured Alphaproteobacteria bacterium. RNAcentral describes it as "partial 16S ribosomal RNA". It matches the Rfam family "Bacterial small subunit ribosomal RNA", at positions 336 to 868 of the family's 1533-position model. Lineage: Bacteria; Pseudomonadati; Pseudomonadota; Alphaproteobacteria. The record is from RNAcentral.